GUUGUCGCAGGGACAGGACAGUCUUCCUCUACUAAGGCCGAAUGCUGUUCCCGUUUAUGGACAGACCACACUUUGUUUAUCCGUUCAUGAUUGGACACGGGGGUUGCUCCCAGCUCUAGGCCACCAUGAUUCAUGUGGCCACACAUGGCCGUGUCUGUUUGAGCCCGUGCUGUCUCCUCUUGUGGGUGUCGGGCACC
RNAcentral lists this long non-coding RNA (197 nucleotides) under Mustela putorius furo (domestic ferret). Its description in RNAcentral is "lncRNA (ENSMPUG00000032037.1)". Lineage: Eukaryota; Metazoa; Chordata; Mammalia; Carnivora; Mustelidae. The record is from RNAcentral.